AUUGAACGCUGGCGGCAUGCUUUACACAUGCAAGUCGAACGGCAGCGCGGGGGCAACCCUGGCGGCGAGUGGCGAACGGGUGAGUAAUAUAUCGGAACGUACCCAGAAGUGGGGAUAACGUAGCGAAAGUUACGCUAAUACCGCAUACGAUCUACGGAUGAAAGUGGGGGACCUUCGGGCCUCAUGCUUUUGGAGCGGCCGAUAUCUGAUUAGCUAGUUGGUGAGGUAAAGGCUCACCAAGGCGACGAUCAGUAGCUGGUCUGAGAGGACGACCAGCCACACUGGAACUGAGACACGGUCCAGACUCCUACGGGAGGGCAGCAGUGGGGGAAUUUUGGACAAUGGGGGGCGAACCCUGAUCCAGCAAUGCCGCGUGAGUGAAGAAGGGCCUCGGUUCGG
Molecule: ribosomal RNA, 399 nt
Filed under: uncultured bacterium
Lineage: Bacteria
Description: bacterial SSU rRNA
Rfam family: Bacterial small subunit ribosomal RNA
Source: RNAcentral